Non-coding RNA from Pelobates cultripes (western spadefoot toad), 311 nucleotides. Lineage: Eukaryota; Metazoa; Chordata; Amphibia; Anura; Pelobatidae. The record is from the annotation of a GenBank genome assembly.
AUUAACCAUUCUUAAACGCUUCACUAUUUCUAAACCAGUCCAGACCCGAUCAAAUCCCAGCAAUGCUGUUGAAACUCAGUGCGCCAGCAAUUGCUAAACCCGUCUCAACUCUAAUUAACGAAUCCUUGGUGUCUGGAUACAUACCCAAACUUUGGAAGACUGCGAGAGUAGUGCCUAUCCAUAAAAGUGGUGACACUACUUUGGUUUCUAACUAUCGCCCAAUAUCAUUGCUCCCGGUAUUGUCAAAAAUCUUAGAAAAAUGUGUCCAUAUGCAACUUUGUGAGCACUACCAACAAUUAAACUAUCUGACC